Lolium perenne is the source of this 1029-nucleotide long non-coding RNA. RefSeq lists it as uncharacterized. The record is from RefSeq and is a predicted model, not a curated record. NCBI's taxonomy places the organism in Eukaryota, Viridiplantae, Streptophyta, Magnoliopsida, Poales, Poaceae.
UUCUAUUCUCAUGGACACCCCUUGCUCACCUUGUGACUCCCCUUAUUGUCUCCAACCACCUCUGUAUUGUAGAUUUAGGUAUUCUAGAUAUAGGUUUACUUUUGUAGUAACAUAAUUAAGCUUUCCUUUCUGUAAUGUAAGAGUUUUUUCCGACAAGAGUGAAAAAGUGACAUGGACAAUCUUCGGUAUUUUAGACCGACAUAACAAAGAUAGUAACUAAUGUGUUGUUCUUACAGAAUCAUCUUCCUGCUAUAUAUUCAAAACUCCAUGCAAUAUAUAUUCCUGACACAUGGACUUGCAGGUUUGAUUACUGAACUUUACAAGUUUGAACUAUGCUGAACUUGUUGGCUUGCAAUUCUUUAGCCUUCAGUAAUUGAUCUCAAGUCUGUGGUUGGCUGGUUGCUACUUUAUCAAGACAACAACAGGCUGAAGGCCAACAAUAAACACAGUAGACGCUUUGAUUUGGCAUCUGUACAUCAGCGAAUUAUUGAUCUAGACAAAUAACAAUGUAAUUUAUAAUUUAUCUUUGACAAGAGUAUAUGAGCCUGAAACUAGACCUACCUUUCCGCCAUCCAUGCAUGACUAAUAAAGGCAUGAUGCUACCAGGGUUACAUUUUUCUGUACAAAGACAGGCGCCCAGCCUGUAGCUGAGCAAGAUUCUAGAAGGAGGCAAGGACAUCUCUAAUUUCCUAUGUCACAUGUUGCAUAGAAAUGGAGUUUGCUUCUGAAGCUAUUGCGAGCCAGAGAAUUCUACUUUUUCGGGGCAGCGAGGAAUCGUCCGUAAAAAAGCUGUAAGAAAAGUGACUAGCAUAGGAUUUUCAUGAAGUACAUGAACUCUUAUUUUCACGCUGGAGGCACGAAUCAUCUUUAUUGGUAGAUGACCUAUAGUUUAACCUGGCCGGUUUGUGCUUGGUGUUCUUUUAUUGUUUAGCAUGACAAGAUAGGAACUGCACAAUUUUUGUGAGUGGUAUACACUUCUGAAAUCAUUUUUAUGAUAAUUAGGAUAGAUAAUUUUCCGGUUUUGUCUGA